RNAcentral lists this ribosomal RNA (528 nucleotides) under Alternariaster helianthi. RNAcentral describes it as "eukaryotic LSU rRNA". The stretch from base 195 to 349 matches the Rfam family "5.8S ribosomal RNA". The record is from RNAcentral. Lineage: Eukaryota; Fungi; Ascomycota; Dothideomycetes; Pleosporales; Leptosphaeriaceae.
CGGGGUUAAGGAAAAUAAAAUCAUGGUUGUUGGACGGUAUAAACACGGCUUUUGCCUCGUUCUUUGGCCUCUCCCUUCUGAUUCUACCCAUGUCUUUUACUCACUAUCAGUUUCCUCGGUGGGCUUGCCUGCCGAUUGGACAACCUAAAACCAUUUGUACUUGCAGUCAGCGUCUCUCAUAAAAUUAAUAUUACAACUUUCAACAACGGAUCUCUUGGUUCUGGCAUCGAUGAAGAACGCAGCGAAAUGCGAUAAGUAGUGUGAAUUGCAGAAUUCAGUGAAUCAUCGAAUCUUUGAACGCACAUUGCCCCCCCUUGGUAUUCCAUGGGGCAUGCCUGUUCGAGCGUCAUUUGUACCCUCAAGCUCUGCUUGGUGUUGGGUGUUUGUUCCCUGAACUCACCUUAAAACAAUUGGCAGCCGGCAUGUUGGCCUGGAGCGCAGCACAAUUUGCGUCCCAUUCCAGUAGUGUCGGCACCCAUCAAGACCUAUAUUUUGCUCUUGACCUCGGAUCAGGUAGGGAUACCCACU